Molecule: ribosomal RNA, 825 nt
Filed under: uncultured bacterium
Lineage: Bacteria
Description: bacterial SSU rRNA
Rfam family: Bacterial small subunit ribosomal RNA
Source: RNAcentral
CAUGCAAGUCGAACGAGAAUCUACUGAAAGAGUUUUCGGACAAUGGAUGUAGAGGAAAGUGGCGGACGGGUGAGUAACGCGUGAGGAACCUGCCUUGAAGAGGGGGACAACAGUUGGAAACGACUGCUAAUACCGCAUGACGCAUAGAGGUCGCAUGAUCUUUAUGCCAAAGAUUUAUCGCUUCAAGAUGGCCUCGCGUCUGAUUAGCUAGUUGGCGGGGUAACGGCCCACCAAGGCGACGAUCAGUAGCCGGACUGAGAGGUUGAACGGCCACAUUGGGACUGAGAUACGGCCCAGACUCCUACGGGAGGCAGCAGUGGGGAAUAUUGGGCAAUGGGCGCAAGCCUGACCCAGCAACGCCGCGUGAAGGAAGAAGGCUUUCGGGUUGUAAACUUCUUUUAAGAGGGAAGAGCAGAAGACGGUACCUCUAGAAUAAGCCACGGCUAACUACGUGCCAGCAGCCGCGGUAAUACGUAGGUGGCAAGCGUUGUCCGGAUUUACUGGGUGUAAAGGGCGUGCAGCCGGGUCUGCAAGUCAGAUGUGAAAUCCAUGGGCUCAACCCAUGAACUGCAUUUGAAACUGUAGAUCUUGAGUGUCGGAGGGGCAAUCGGAAUUCCUAGUGUAGCGGUGAAAUGCGUAGAUAUUAGGAGGAGCACCAGUGGCGAAGGCGGAUUGCUGGACGAUAACUGACGGUGAGGCGCGAAAGUGUGGGGAGCAAACAGGAUUAGAUACCCUGGUAGUCCACACUGUAAACGAUGAAUACUAUGUGUGCGGGGACUGACCCCCUGCGUGCCGCAGUAAACACAAUAAGUAUUCCACCUGGGG